RNAcentral lists this long non-coding RNA (2527 nucleotides) under Mus musculus (house mouse). RNAcentral describes it as "long non-coding RNA chr3:100993788-100996315". Lineage: Eukaryota; Metazoa; Chordata; Mammalia; Rodentia; Muridae. The record is from RNAcentral.
AAGCAGAGGAAGGACGUGGCCAGAAGGAGCAGCAUGACGAAGGGGCAGACGAUGAGGAAGUGGAGCAAGGGCCCCGAGGAGCAGAUCAGGGAGGAGACCGUGGGCUCUGCAACCAGAGAAACACAGAAGACAAUCAAUCAGUGUCCCAACGAUCGGGGCCGAGCAGGCGAGUACGUCUCCCUACACAUCAUUAUCGGCAAGUCCGUGUAGAUGACAAGGUGGAAUGGCACAGGCCUCUCGCCCUGCAAGUGCACUGGAAGAACAGGCCCAGGACAUUCCCAACACACACCUCUUCCCCCUGCCCGGCCAUUGCAGCUGUACAGCUGCCAAUGACCUACUUACAACCACCAGCCAAAAAAGAAAAGCAAAACAAAAAAAAAAAGAAGAGAGAGAAAGAAAACCUUUCCUUUAAUCUUCUUCCCUCAGAAAAGAUAUGUAUAAUUCAGUUCUCGUUCUCAACUGUGUGGCUGGCUCUGAAUUUUUAACUGAGAUAUUCCCACUGCUGUUUCUGAAACUCACAGUGCACUAAGCUGUCCUCAGUAACAGCUGUGCCUAUGAAGGAGGGCACUUUUGCCCCUGACCCAUGACAUAUAGGUUAUCCCGGGUCCUGACUCCUUGCCCCACUAUGCUCAAUUCUCACUUCCUGUAUCUAAGCCACUGGGCACAGUCCCUGUCUGGUUGGAUCUCACUUCUCCCAGACUUCUUGCAUGGUCCCGUGCUCACCCCUCCUUGUCACACAGCCCUUUGUUUCGGCUCCUUUCUUCCCUGGACUGAGAAUGGCUAAGUGUCCUGGGUUCCUGCCUUUGGUGAUCUUAAACCAAACUGAAUGCCGCCACAGAGUCAAAGCCACCAUACAGAGAGGCACGCCAAAGCAUGCGAUCCUCCGAUCCUCCGCAGCUGCAGGCCGAUGGGAGGCACCAUCAACAGACUGACAUGUGGGGCAUUGGGGCUCCUGGUCAUUUCCCAGAGAGGCAAAGCAGAGAGGACUGCGGCCACCACAGGUCCUCGGAAAUGGUACCCUGGGCUAAUGGCUAAAGGCCUGGGUUACAGGCAUUCAGCAGAAAGCCACAUGUGUAAAGUGGUACCAACCACUCACUGCACUCUUCCAACUACAUUUCUGAACUAUUUGAAAUCAGGGCUAUUCUGAACAAUCCGAUGCUAACAGCAGCUGUGCUUUGCUUGGGAAACUAACGACAGGAGACCUCUCUUCUUCAAAGGUUAAGCUAUACAAUUUCCGAGACUAUGGAUUCCCAGUGAUAAAACAGUUUUGAUAGGUCGUUCUGACCAACCUCCAAGUGCAAAAGAAAAGACCCCUUGGGGCCUCUCUGAAGCACUUUACACGUCAAAGACUGCCUCUUCACUGGAAAUCAAGAGAGAGCCCAGACAUUUGCUCGUGAUAGGUACUGUGAGCUCCUGGAGGCUUGGGCCUGUGUCUUACAUGUCUCUGUACCUUGUAACGCACCUCCCCCGAAAGUCCUCCAGGAUCCUGGAGAAGGAACCAGCUACCGAGUGUAUUCCCCAUGCAAGAGCCAAGGUGGCCGCCAUCAUGCAGUGUCGGUCCCUGGCAUUAGGCUGUCAGUUCUGAAUGGGUUUGGCACAGAGCUGCAGAGUUGGUGGCCUAGAUAUUUUUUUUCUGUUCUCAAUUGUAGUUUUCAUCUUGCAUCUGAUUUUCCUUCUUGAAAAUGUAAUCAAUGGCAGAGAGAGAGAGAGAGAUUUUGAAUUUUUUUUUCCUAUUGUUUGUUUUGAUCUGAGGCUGAGUCUCACUAUGUAGCCUGAACUAACCUCAAACACAAGAUCUUCCUGCCUCAACUUCCCAAAGGCUGGGAUUAUGGGAGUGUGUCACCAUGCCUGGUUUAAUUUUUAAUUUUUUUCUAACCUCUUUCUGCAUUCUUCUUUCAAAUGAUCCAGGCGAAUGAUAAUUAGUCCCCUGGGUCGCAUGUGAUAUGACGCUGGCAAGCAUGGUCAAAUGAAGCAGGCUGCGAUGUUGUGUUAGAAUAGGCCAGGCCACUCAACCAUGGCUACCCAAAGAAGCUUCUUUUUAUAGCAGUGGUCACUGUCAGGAAAUGACGGGCCCCCUACAGAAAGCCCAUCUAGGAGAGUGUCAACAGUUUCCUCAGGUGUCCAGACUCCCAGAGAAUGACAGACAGCCACAGUUUUUCACUUCCCCAAGCAAAUUUACAAACCUCAGGGCUGGACCCCCUGGAAUAUCAAAAGGGCACCAGCGUUGACACAUGCCUCCACCAUAUACUGGAUAGACGUCAACUAGCCAGGCCCUUCUUCCUCACUUCCCCAGAUCCUCAGAGCUGCACAUCUCUUUCCUGGAAUUCCCUUCUGCUCUCCACUCUGCAGCCGCUGAAACAGAGAGAGCCUGGCUGCACGCUCACCAUGUGACCCCAUCCCCUUCCUGAGACCUCUAAGAGGUGCCCUCCUAACUCUGCCCGUGGGCUUGAACACUCAUUAGGGCUCCUGCCAUGCUGCUGUCUGUCCUUGGCAUUAAUAACCCUUGUAAUAAACUUCUUACCCAAAC